This 460-nucleotide ribosomal RNA is filed under the name uncultured bacterium. RNAcentral's name for it is "partial 16S ribosomal RNA". It matches the Rfam family "Bacterial small subunit ribosomal RNA", at positions 338 to 795 of the family's 1533-position model. The record is from RNAcentral.
CCUACGGGAGGCAGCAGUGAGGAAUAUUGGUCAAUGGACGAGAGUCUGAACCAGCCAAGUAGCGUGAAGGAUGACUGCCCUAUGGGUUGUAAACUUCUUUUAUAUGGGAAUAACAUGUUCCACGUGUGGGAUUUUGUAUGUACCAUAUGAAUAAGGAUCGGCUAACUCCGUGCCAGCAGCCGCGGUAAUACGGAGGAUCCGAGCGUUAUCCGGCUUUAUUGGGUUUAAAGGGAGCGUAGGUGGAUUGUUAAGUCAGUUGUGAAAGUUUGCGGCUCAACCGUAAAAUUGCAGUUGAAACUGGCAGUCGUGAGUACAGUAGAGGUGGGCGGAAUUCGUGGUGUAGCGGUGAAAUGCUUAGAUAGCACGAAGAACUCCGAUUGCGAAGGCAGCUCACUGGACUGCAACUGACACUGAGGCUCGAAAGUGUGGGUAUCAAACAGGAUUAGAUACCCCAGUAGUC